This 291-nucleotide ribosomal RNA is filed under the name uncultured bacterium. RNAcentral's name for it is "partial 16S ribosomal RNA". It matches the Rfam family "Bacterial small subunit ribosomal RNA", at positions 773 to 1060 of the family's 1533-position model. The record is from RNAcentral.
GUGGAUUAGAUACCCUGGUAGUCCCGGCAGUAAACGAUGGGUACUAGGUGUUGGAGGGAAUUGACCCCUUCAGUGCCGCAGCUAACGCAUUAAGUACCCCACCUGGGGAGUACGACCGCAAGGUUGAAACUCAAAGGAAUUGACGGGGGCCCGCACAAGCAGUGGAGUAUGUGGUUCAAUUCGACGCAACGCGAAGAACCUUACCUGGGUUUGAAAUGUGUUGGAAAGCCUCAGAGAUGAGGCCCCUCCGCAAGGAGUCGAUACAUAGGUGCUGCAUGGUUGUCGUCAGCU